This 347-nucleotide long non-coding RNA is filed under the name Homo sapiens (human). Its description in RNAcentral is "HSALNT0329274". The record is from RNAcentral. Lineage: Eukaryota; Metazoa; Chordata; Mammalia; Primates; Hominidae.
AAACAUGGUCUUAUGAUACAGGAUAUUAUGAAGAAACAGAACGAACAAGAGACACAGGGUGACUUCUUGAAUAUGAAAAAUAUUAUUACUAUACUUCCAUUAAUGGCAUGAUUAGAAGUGAGAAAAAUAUACAUAAACAUCUCUACAUUAGGACAAAGGAGUAAUGCAAAAAAAAGGAAGCUAAUAUGAAGCAAUAAACUAGAAGAUGAAGUUUGAGAAAUCCAAGUUCCAGCUCAACUAGCUGGCUUGGGAAUCUGAAAAAGUUGAAAUUCUCAUUUGCCUAUGUAGAAAGCAGACAUACACUACCUCAUAGAACCAUUGAAACUUAUUGAUAUGUGCAAAUCAUU